Molecule: ribosomal RNA, 497 nt
Filed under: uncultured bacterium
Lineage: Bacteria
Description: partial 16S ribosomal RNA
Rfam family: Bacterial small subunit ribosomal RNA
Source: RNAcentral
GAUGAAUGCUGGCGGCGUGCCUAAUACAUGCAAGUCGAGCGAACAGACGAGGAGCUUGCUCCUCUGACGUUAGCGGCGGACGGGUGAGUAACACGUGGAUAACCUACCUAUAAGACUGGGAUAACUUCGGGAAACCGGAGCUAAUACCGGAUAAUAUAUUGAACCGCAUGGUUCAAUAGUGAAAGACGGUUUUGCUGUCACUUAUAGAUGGAUCCGCGCCGCAUUAGCUAGUUGGUAAGGUAACGGCUUACCAAGGCAACGAUGCGUAGCCGACCUGAGAGGGUGAUCGGCCACACUGGAACUGAGACACGGUCCAGACUCCUACGGGAGGCAGCAGUAGGGAAUCUUCCGCAAAGGGCGAAAGCCUGACGGAGCAACGCCGCGUGAGUGAUGAAGGUCUUCGGAUCGUAAAACUCUGUUAUUAGGGAAGAACAAAUGUGUAAGUAACUAUGCACGUCUUGACGGUACCUAAUCAGAAAGCCACGGCUAACUACGUG